This is a non-coding RNA of Anas platyrhynchos (mallard), 1717 nucleotides long. The record is from RefSeq and is a predicted model, not a curated record. NCBI's taxonomy places the organism in Eukaryota, Metazoa, Chordata, Aves, Anseriformes, Anatidae.
AGUUUGUGGGAGCAUCCUCUACUCUCUGGAGAUGUGUUUUCAUAACUUGGCUUCAGCUGAUGUAAUUUCUUGCCAUCUGAAAAAGAGUUCCCUCCCAUCCUGCUCCCCCUUGUCAGGGGCAUGCUCCUGCUUUCUCUUGAGCAUGGUGUAGCACUCAGUUGAAGACUUAAGAUUGCAAGUGAAUACGUAUGCAACCCUAUCAUCAACUGUGAUCAGCAGUAAAACUUGGAAGUCAAACGAAGUGAACUCAGUCCUGGUACGUUUAUCAAUUUGUAGUUCCAUGGAUGUCAGAUCCCCAAAACCUCUGCAUAAAUUUUAAGAUCUUUGUCUACCAUCACAUGUGAAAGCAGAGAAGUUAUACACCACAAUUACUAGAACGUUUCAACAGCUGAAAAGCAUUUGGAAGUCACAUCCAGAAACAUCCGGACACCUGUGUUACCACCUGUCUCCACUCUGACUUAGGUAGAAAGUCCCUCCAAGUAGUUGUUUCUCAACAGAGCAAGAUCAGGUGGCUGAGAAGCACUAUGUCUGUGUCAAUGUUUCCUGUUGCUGCAGGAGUUCUGUCCAGUGACUUUCACAUCACAGCUAUUUCCCCAGCUGCAUUAUUCAAGCAACAGGAAUCUUUCUAGCUCAGAAGGUACACGAUCAUAAACAUUUUGACGGGAAGUGACCAAUUUUCCAAACUGGAAUAAAAAUCUCUGGACCAAUAUUCUGAUAGUGGCUGCAGGUAAGCCGUGGCUACAAAGAUAAGCGGUACCAUGCUUGGGAACUUUGGACAGGGAGUGUGAGAAGGUGCUGUGGCUUGUAAGGACAGAUGGAACCUCCUCAGCCACCCCUGUUGAUGGAGAAACUUUGGCCUGUUUCUUCCUGGUAGGGCUGCCUGUUCUGUCUGCAUCCCCUGCUCCUGGACUCACAUGCUCACCUCCAAGGGUUCUGCCCCUUGCUUGUGCUGCAGGGUAAAUCUUUAGUCUGUCUUUUCUAAAGUGGAGUAAGUUUUAAACAUCAUCUUCAUGGAUGCACAAGGAGAUCACAGGAAGAUUCCUUUGGGAGCCCCCACGACCUGGACAAACACAGAUGCAUCCCUGUGCUCUUUUGAGUACAGGGACUGCUCUCUGUAUCUCUACGUGGCUUUUUUACGUAUAAAUUUCACUGGUAAGCCUUUUCACUUUGUUAAAAUUAACUGCAUCAGCACUAAUAUCCAGCUGUGUUAAGAUUUAAGUACUAUCAAUAGUAUCUCAUAUGCUACCUAUUAUUCAAGCAUGACUUUGAUUAAAAUGUUUUUGUACCCAGGUGUGAACAAAAACACAUUUUGGAAGGUAUCAUAUCUCUAUCCUUACACUUGAAUUGUUUAGGAUGCAACAUUGGCUGCUGUACCUCUUCUGUGUUGGUACAUACAUGGUUAGCAUUAAGCAGUGAAACUACAGAGGCUGGCAAAACCUAAUCUUUCUGUCCUCAACCAGUCCCUCUGGUGAGGAAAUGUAUUGACUUCUAUAGAAGAAUAGAAGAUGCUGAUAAAAGGAUUGCUUAGCCCUAAUGAAAAGGCUUAAAAGAGUUAGAAGAACAUCCUGCAAAAAGCAGACCUAAGCUUCACCCCUUCUCAUCAAGCUGUCAAGGGAGUUUGCACACCACACAGCUCAGGAUUUUAUUUCAAAGGAGUACAACUGGGGUAGUCCCAUUUAUAGUUGCUUAAGAAUUUAAAAAAAAAAAAAAAAAAAAA